AAUGCAAAGAAAAAGGAAGUUGAUAAGGCCUUGGUCCCAAAUAAAAGCGAAGGAAAAGCGGGUAAAUCUUGGCAGGCCCAAAUUAAAGAGUUCCAAAGAAAAAGAAACUACUUUGCUGCUUUUGACAGUUUGACCCCAAAUACCGUUUGCCAUACACAGUGAUCUGCGCAGGAAAGCUCUAAUCAACGAACAGAUUGAUCGCAGCUUAGAUUUGUUAUUGAAUCAAUUUCUUUCCACAUCGCGAUUUUCCGAUCAGUUUGGUUGCCGAGAAAAUGAUAGAAAGGAAACGAAAAUCUGCAGAUUCUCAGUGCAUCUGGAAUUAUAUUUUCCCUAUUGAAUCCCAAUAGAAUAAUCUAAUAGCUGAAUCGAUUUUCCUAUGAAUAUUUUGAAUUUGUAUAAACUAGGGUUUGUGGAACUCUGAGCAGAGCUAAGAUUUUUAGGUUAACGUUGUUAAGGCGUGAGAGAUGGCGUUUAUAAUGGAGUUUGCUGAGAAUCUGGUACUGAUGCUUAUGGAGGACCCUAAAGAGAGGGAUAGGAAGUUCAGGGAGCACGUGUAUGCGGUGAAAGACCAAGGAGAUGUGGGCGCUACCUCUCCGUCCCUACGGAUUUUGGACCCUUGAACGCCACAACUCGCAGCUCCGUUGGGAUGCCCAGAUUAGCCAGGUUGCAGGCCGGAGGGACCCCUAUGAUGAUCUCCUCCAACACAGCUAUGAUCCCGUCACCCCCCAAAACUAAUUGAGUGCGUAUAAAGUUUGUUUUUUUUACUGUUUUGAAGCCAUUCUGUGUUUCUAAUGCAUCGUUCGAACUGUGUGGAAGUUGUUGUAUUGUUGUCAGUCGCUUCCGAGAUAAUGUAGGUUGAAUAUGUCUUCAUGCUAAUUGCUCCAAGGCACGUCCUUAGGAGAGUUGAUAUUGGCGUUUGCGGUAGCUUUGUGCUAUAUGUUUGGGUCAUUGCUGCAAGUUUCAUGUUUUUUAUUCUAAAUUUAGCCGGUGAAGGUCUUUAACAAACUGAGACAAAAGUAGAUGUAAAUUUACAUAGACGCUAGCGAAGCUAAGUAGCUAUCCACAUUUCUUCAGUUCA
Pyrus x bretschneideri (Chinese white pear) is the source of this 1078-nucleotide long non-coding RNA. RefSeq lists it as uncharacterized. Lineage: Eukaryota; Viridiplantae; Streptophyta; Magnoliopsida; Rosales; Rosaceae. The transcript is spliced from 2 exons. The record is from RefSeq and is a predicted model, not a curated record.